UACAGAGGUCUCAAGCGUUGUUCGGAUUCAUUGGGCGUAAAGGGUGUGUAGGUGGCGCCGUAAGUCGGGUGUGAAAUUUUAGAGCUUAACUCUGAAACUGCAUUCGAUACUGUGGUGCUUGAGGACUGGAGAGGAGACUGGAAUUUACGGUGUAGCGGUGAAAUGCGUAGAGAUCAUGAGGAAGACCAGUGGCGAAGGCGGGUCUCUGGACAGUUCCUGACACUGAGACACGAAGGCCAGGGGAGCAAACGGG
This 253-nucleotide ribosomal RNA is filed under the name uncultured bacterium. Its description in RNAcentral is "partial 16S ribosomal RNA". It matches the Rfam family "Bacterial small subunit ribosomal RNA", at positions 524 to 776 of the family's 1533-position model. The record is from RNAcentral.